RNAcentral lists this ribosomal RNA (524 nucleotides) under uncultured bacterium. RNAcentral's name for it is "partial 16S ribosomal RNA". It matches the Rfam family "Bacterial small subunit ribosomal RNA", at positions 28 to 523 of the family's 1533-position model. The record is from RNAcentral.
GACGAACGCUGGCGGCGUGCUUAACACAUGCAAGUCGAACGAGACGAUUGAAAGCUUGCUUUCGAAAGUCGAGUGGCAAACGGGUGAGUAACGCGUAGACAACCUGCCUUUGAGAUGGGGACAACAGUUCGAAAGGGCUGCUAAUACCGAAUGUUGUAUAUUUUCCACAUGGAAGAUAUAUUAACGAUGGCCUAUAUUUAUAAGCUAUCGCUCAAAGCUGGGUCUGCGUCUGAUUAGCUAGUUGGUGGGGUAACGGCCUACCAAGGCGACGUUAAGUAUCCGGGCUGAGAGGAUGAACGUGCACAGUGGGACUGAGACACGGCCCAGACUCCUACGGGAAGCAGCAGUGGGGAAUCUUCCACAAUGGACGAAAGUCUGAUGGAGCAACGCCGCGUGAGUGAAGAAGGGUUUCGGCUCGUAAAGCUCUGUUGUCGGGGACGAAUGUGCAUUACUUGAAUAAAGUAGUGUAAUGACGGUACCUGACGAGGAAGCCACGGCUAACUACGUGCCAGCAGCCGCCGUAA